This is a long non-coding RNA of Pyrgilauda ruficollis (rufous-necked snowfinch), 12592 nucleotides long. RefSeq lists it as uncharacterized. The transcript has 4 exons. The record is from RefSeq and is a predicted model, not a curated record. Lineage: Eukaryota; Metazoa; Chordata; Aves; Passeriformes; Passeridae.
AUAUCUCUCCUUAAACACUACUGUUUAAUCUACAAACUGAUUCUUCUGAGCUCUGAAUCUGAGAAUGGAAAAACAGGAAUAUGCCACAGAAGUGCCCUCUGAAAUGUUUCAGAGACAAGCAUCUACUCAAAUACUAGGUGCAUUGGUAAUUAUUCACUUUUGCCACAUUACAGCUGCCUUUUUAAAAAAAAAUAUUGUUGCCCCUUUCCCAUUUGGCUCUUUACAUGCAGACUUGUUUCUUCAGUGCUUCUAAGUCUGCCUUUUACUUGAGAACUUCUCAACUUCUAUGGCUUCUUGUACAACUAGCACAAAUGCAUGAUGAUAGCUAAGAGUACUUUAAAGUACUGUGAAUAGAUUUUGUUCUUUGUGGGAUGAAUUCACAGGGACAAUAGUAGAAUCUAUGGUGGGGACAGGCUGUGGUAUGAAUUCACAGGGACAAUAGUAGAAUCUGUGGUGGGGACAGGCUGUGGUAUUCUCAAAAGGAAUAGGAAAUCUGCACUAUGUCACUUGAACUGUUCUAGCAGCAGAGGCAGAAACUUGUUUCUUUCCUUUGCAUAGCUUGCAGGCUUGACAGCCGGUGGACUAUGAAGUGUCUUCUCCAGAUUGUUUUCAUCUAAGAUCCCUCCCUUCCUCAGGGUGGUUUUGCUUCUGAAAGUGUAAAUUUGUUUACCAGUGUACAAAAUGCAAGAAAACCAGUCAUGCUAAAAUCUGGAUUUGUAGUUCUGUUUUGCUCCCUGGUAACAGUGUCAUGAAACACGAAAUCGUGAAACUGAUUUCAUAGGGCUUUUUCCCAAUUCUAGUGGCCUGCAUAAUGAGUAAUUAUUUAUAUUUUCCAGUAUGAAAGUCCUGGUCUGUUAUAUUUGUGUUGAGGGUGGUAGCUGUAUUUAAGAAAGCUCUGGCAUAAGAAUACAAUUUGGGAAAGAUCAUAUUAUCCCAGAUUUUUCAGAAUGUAUUUCUAUAAAAAUCUCUUUGCCAAGUGUAAGAUGAUUAAUACGAUUAAUGUAAUGCUGAUAAAUUCAAGAGAUCGGUAUCCUCAAAGGUUCAAUAGUAACUAUUUUCUGUGGCUAGAUUGACAUAUGAUCUUGUGUAGUUCAGCUGGAGCAUUCCACAAUCUGGGAGAUACUUCCAAUAAAACCAAAAAAUCCUGGGAGCUUGUUUAUUGAAGAAUCGGUGUUAUAACUGCUUCUCUGUCGUGUGUUAACAUUUCUAUAAAUACUUCCCGGUCUCAAAACUACUGUUAAAUGUGCAUUUCCUUUUUUCUCAGUUUCUUCAGUCAUCACUUUCGUUGAAAGAUAACACGCAAGUCUCUGAAGGAUUUUUGAUUUGUUAUAAAUAAAGGAAUUCAAAAGUAAAAUGUUGCACUUCAUAGUUUUGCAGAGUGCAGCACAGUUCUGGAAGGAAAUGUAAAUGAAAAAGCUCUACUCUGUAUGAGAAAGAAACAUUAUACUUUUAUAACUGCCUCCUGUAAAAUGGGAAUGUAACAGUGCUAAUGAAAAGUAAAAAUUGCUUGUAGGCUUUGUGAUUUGCCUAGAGGUAGGUGUUGCUGUCUUCUGAUGCUAUAGUUGUAACCUACAGUUGUGCCUUACUGUCCCGGUGAGACUGGAUGUUGUAUUUAUCAAUCCAUAAAUAAACCUUCACUGUAUAAACAAAAACCAAAACCAAACCAUCCCCCAGCUCUUCCUGUAGGGCAACCAACUAUCCUUUAAUUACUGGAUAAAGCUAAAUACCAGUAAAAGAAUGGUGCUAGCAGGUUUUACAGAUCAGUUUCCUAUAACUGAUAGAGUGUUAUUUAUUUUCAGAGAUUGAUAAUCCUUUAUUCUGCUGGCAAAACAUGAGCUGCAGAAGAGGACACAAAGGCUCGUUUGUGACAUUUGUUCCUACAAGCUCCCACCUCAGAUAUUUUUGCUAAUGCGCUUGAAGGUGAACACAAAUGGUCUAACAGAUGUACUGCAAAAAAAAAAAACCUCAUAACACAAUCGAUCAAAGAACAACCAACCUUCCUACAAUAAAAAAAAAGAUUCUCAACUAUCAGAAUCUAACUUUGCCAUUAGCAGAAUAAAUCGCAUGCAAAUAAAUAUCUUACUCAAUAUUCUGAAAACUGUAUAUAUAACAUGCAGUUUAAAAGGUGGUGGACAGAAAGUGGUGUUUUAGAGACUGAGAUCUUAAAUUUGUUAAAUUUAACUAAGCUGUACAGAUACAAGCAGAUUUCCACUAAAGUAGUAUUUUUACCAUACCUGGUUGCUUAUAAAAGUAUUUUGUCUUGAGAAAGGUCAUCUUGAAGGUGAACAUGAUGGCAGCUCAGAGAUGGAGCUGCUUAAUAUUUCAUCUUUGUCUGUUGAAAAAGUAGUACAAGGGACAGGAUUUUAAAUAGAGAUGAGCCAUUCUCCAGUCUUCUGAGGGAUAGUCUCUUCAAAUCUGCAGCCAUGAGUUGAUGUUGAGACUGGCUGGAGGCUUGACUGCCGAAAUGUGUGGGUGCAAGAGGUUACCAGAGUAUUGUGAAGAAAGCAGAAAUAGGUUUGAUAUCUAAAUCAGUACUGAAACCUGUAGGCCCCUUAGCUUGGCAACAAAUAGGAAAAGAAAAGAAUCCAAAUACAGGAUUUGACUCAUGAAGAGCAGGGGUAAAAAUUAUGUUCUGUAACUGUACAAUGGAACAUAAAAACCUGCUUUUGCUUCUUUGAAUCUGGAGCUUUGGUUGUAAAUAGAAUGUGGGUAUAAUACUGGAGUUAGCAAAAGCGGUUCAUUGCAGGCUGCUCUAAAACGUGACGCGGCAGAAAAGCGUUGUAUUAAAUGUUUGAACACACGUGUAAAGAUUUGGAGUGAAAUAGUUUGUAGCAAUCUGGGAUGAAUCAUGGUGAGACGGGGGUGUUUCUCGACAGUUUUCUGAAUGGGUACGUACUCCUCUUCACACUCUUCAAUGCAUCCACCCAUCAGCUAGAAGUGCAAAAUUACCGCUGCUAAAAAAAAAUUAUUAAAAAAAAAAAAAAGGCAGAUGACAGAAACCCGGCCGAAUGACUGAAGGCAGAAGGACUGAAGGCCGCCUUUGGGAGCAACCACGAUGCUCGGUGAGCUCAGCAGGUGCUGUAGGGCCGCCGGACCGGGACCCUCCCCGGCCGGCUGUGCGGGCGGGUGCUCAGCCCGGCCGCCCUUGCGGAGCGGCCCCUUUAAAUCCCCGUGGAGGUCACCGCAGGACUCGCCCCGGGCCAGUCCCGCUCGCGCCGCCCGAGCCAAUCCCUUCGCUGUGCCCUGCCCGGGGCCAAUCCGAGCGGGCCGCCUUGGAGGCGGGAGGCCAGUCCCCUGAUGGACGGCGCCGCUGGCCAAUCGCCGCCAAUACCGGAGGGCUGAUGCACGGGCACGGCACCCAAUAGGCUCGCGGUCGAGUGGGCGGGCCCGGGCGCAGCGAGCCCCCGCCGGGAGGCCGGGGGAAGGAGGGGAAGAUGGCGGAGUGAGGGGCGGAGGAGGCGGAGUGGCCGGGCCGGCCGCGGCCCCGCGGCUUCGGCCGCGCUCAGCUCAUUGAAGAGGAUGUGGAAUGAUCAAAAAUAAUGCUCUCCAGGUCUGUUUUUCCGCAUCUUCAUAAGAAUAAGACUUUCCCAACAGUCUGAGUGUCGAUGGUCAACAAUGAUCAGCUGAAAUAUUUGAGUGACUCAAGAGAGAUAUCGAUAGUGACAUGUACUAUAUUUCCAUUUUCACGGUCUACUCACUGCUUCUAAUGUAGGAGCUGAAAAUUGUCACUGGAAGAUUAUUUCUGGACUUGAUCGACGGAAUGGUUAAGAGAUCCUUUCCUAAGAAGGUGGUCUUCUUACUUGCUCAAAGGCUAUGAAAUGUGGAUGUUUCUCUUCUAGCAAGCAAAACCCGUCCUUCAUUUCCAUGGAGCUGAAUGAACAAAGGUCUGUCCACUUCUGUUUGAAUCAUCUCACCAAACAUUUGAUUCACCAGAUGACUUCUCCCACAGAAGCAGCCCACUGUUUUAUCAAAACUCAGAAGCAGAGUAACAGAAAUCAACAUUUGUUUUCCUAAAAAAAUGUCUUCUGUGCCAGCUCUUCAUUCAGCUUUCUGCAUUCCGUUUUAAAAUGAAAAAUACUUUGUAAUCAGAUGCAAGCGGAAGCUGGUGUUUUUCACUGGUAUUUCCUUCUUAAUUUUAGGAAGGUUAAGUACUUUGCUGUGUCAAAUUGGAAUUCCUAGCAGACAAAGCGUCUACAUGCAUUGCUGUGUCAGACUGACCUGAUAUAUAUGAAAAGUUGCAGCAGGAAAACCAGAAUGUUUUCUGCUCUGACAUGAGGAAGAAGCUUACCAAACAACUAGGGGCAUCUCAUACAGGUAUUUUCCAGUCCAGGUCCCAGGCCUGACUUUGUAGAUAGGUGUGAACUCACAUAACGCAGCUAAUGCACAAGAACAAAUACAGAAUCACCUUGUCCAUACUGUGUGUCCCAGGCUGUGAUCAAAAUGUGUAUUUGCAUGUGUGGACCUCUGUAAGUGCAGGAUAUGAAGAGCUUUCACCUGAAGAAGAAAUUACUCUGCAUCAUUUCAUUUUUAGCAAAGAAAAAAGAAGCUUUGAAGGCCUCUGGGGUAACAGGAUAAUGACUAGAUUUGCAUUAUAUCAUUACCUUCCUCAGGCUUUUAAUGAAUCCUUAGCAUCAAAAGGAACAAGACCAUUCUACAGUAGAAGAGAUGGGCAGAACAUCUUUCUUUAUUAUAGAAAUUAACUUCUGAUGGGAUUGAAGAGACCAGAGCUGUAAAGUUGCAGUUUCUCUACCUGGCUUCCUCAACACAAUUUCAGCUUUUCCUACUGCUGAUGAAAUCUCAUUUUUUGAUUCUUUGAUGCCUGAGAGGACCUGUAUGUUUCCUCCAUCUAGGUAGAAAUAGGCCCAAGAAAAUGGAAUGUUAGCCACGUAAGAGGGGUGAGUUGAGAGCAGAAAUACCUAGUUCAGUCCUUUUUCUGGCUCUUCUUAUUCCUUCCCAAACUAAGGCACAAUCUGGUUGUUCUCAUGUUUACACAAGAUUCUUUGUCUAUGUAAUUUGUGAUUAUAUAGGAUUUUUUCUGUCAUUCUGGGAUGGGAGCAUAUAUUGUUUACGUGCUCCCUACUAUGGGAUUAUCUAUAACAAGUAAGAUUUUUGGCAAAAAACUACCAGAACUGGGAUAUGUAUUAUAUUCCACCUCAAAACUGAAACUCUUUUUAGUGCACCUUAUUCCAAGCUUGUGAUUUAGAAAUGUGGCUUGCUAGCUUAAAGUAUGGGAGAUACUAAAAUGGUUGGGGAAGUGUUCUAGAUUUCUUGUUCUAUUUUUCCUUUUAGAAAACUGCUGGAGAGAGCCAGACAGCGUGAAAGUAGCUGAAAAAGCAAACAAUUGAAAUCCUUCUUAAAUCUUGGUGAUUGAUUGCCAGGGCAGCAUUCUAGUAUCAAAAAUGUGGUGACAUUUUAUGGGACCAAGUUCCAUAGUAGAGUGAGGACAAGUGUUGAUGUUGAUCCUAAUUGUCCAAGUAAUGUCUGUGUUUAGACUUGUUUUGUAACAAUAGGAUUUAAUGACAGCUUUACCCGUUUUGUGUUUCCAUGAAGCAAAGAGCAGACACGUAAGCUUAAAGAGUGGUGGGCAGGGCGCUGCAUAUCAAGUAAUGCCAACUUUAAUGAGCAGAGAGGUGCUCUAAAAUGGUGUGUAACAUUGUGGUGAGCUGUGUGAUAAGAGUUAACAUUGAGCUUGAUGAGGCAACCACCAGCUUGGCCUGACUUUGCUGAAUAUGGUCUGAACUUUCUGGCAUUGGAGGCAGCUAAAAAAGCGCACUUUGUUUUAGGGCCUCCUUAUGUUGAAGUCAAUAGGAUUUAAUGGAGAUGUCUGUAGAAGCAGGAUCCAUCUCUAAGUGAUGGAAAAUACUGUCAAUAUCGUAGGAUUACAGUGGUUGGGAAGUAUGUGGUAUAAGAAAUGUCUGAUUUUAGAUCUGGGAAUUUUCUUCCUUCUGCCCAUACUUACCCCUCUGAUGUUAGAGAUAGCAAUUGUUUCUUGCACAGCUUGAUGACAAGACCAGAAGGUAUUUUUGUUUUCUGUGGACAUGUACGAAAAUUGCAAAUUUGCCUGACUAGAGAGCUGAUAAUCUAAGCUCCUUAAACUCAUUAUUUUGUAACCUGGCAUUGUAACAAAAAAGUAGAAUGACUGAUUUUUUUCCUAACUCCUAUUCAUGACAGUGUAGCAGCAUUAGUUUUUGAGUUUAAUUUUAGAACAUCAGGAUUUUAUUAGAUAAAGGAUCUGCGGCUUUCACAGAAGUAAUACUCCAAUAGUGCAUGCCCAGAAGACCCCCUUUGGUGUACCUUCCUGGCCAGCACCUUUAAAGAGCUGCUGUGUUUGGAAAUGCUGCUUCAUCUGACUCACUCUUCCUUGCUCCGCUUUUUCUUUGUGUUGGUUGGAAAUCUUCCCAUGUGAAAGAUUACAAAAACAAGGGGCAUGUGCAAUAGCUCAUAUAUAUAUAUAUACAUAUAUAUAUUUUAAUACUUGUGGACAAAAUGAUGUUACAAGUUGUUUGAAAACAACAAAAUCACCAAUGUCUUCCAUUUUGAGAUGUGUAUAGUUCCAUAAGCAUUAGUGCUUUGUAGCAAACUGUAGUGCCAUGUUAGGACCAGUGCAUGAGCCUAGUAGUAUUUUUACAAUUUCUGAGUGACAAAUUUAUUAGUAAACAGUGAUGAUAAUGUAAUUAACACUAGAAAGGAUACAAUAGGAAUGUCACAAACAUGGUCUAAACAUGCAGUAUCCUCCCUUUGACAAUGGCAAUGCUAUCCUUAGAAAUGGAACUCAUUCACUUAAUGGGCUUCAUAGAAUCAUAGUUGACUUUUUGAUAUUUGUCUGUCUGUCCAACUGCAGUAGUAAGCUAGAGUAUGCAAGUAUCCAUAAUUCUCAUCCCUAUCGGCGUGAUUCUUUUCUUUUAAAGCUUUGUUGUUUUCUUCCAUUUUCAGUUUUAUUGAACCAUCCAUUACCCAUCCUGUGAUAUACUCACAAAAGUAUGAAUAUGCUAAGGAGUUUGUGUGCAUUGUGUACACAUCUCUUACCUUCAGAUAAUUUACAAAGUCUGUUAAGUAAUCUUGUCUUUUUUUCACCUCUGACUCUAUGAUUGUUAUAGCUAGCAAAACAUUAUCCUCAUUGUGUGAUAAGUUAAUAGUUGCAAAAUGUGAUGUGCUCAUUAUGCAUAGAAGACUUUCCUCCAUUACUGCAGGAAUGGGGAACCUUUUUUGGCUGAAAUCCUAUUGAAUCUUAAAAUAACUUUGGUGGAUCCUGCAUUUACAUACAUCUUAAUAAGAGAGAAUACGUUAAGGUCAAAGGCUGUUGGAAAAGGAUGUUGCAGGCUGUAUCUGUGCAGCAGGCUGUCUCUAGCCAAUGGAUCAGAGAUUCCCCACCCCUGUAUUAUUGAGAAUUCAGUAUCUUCUGUUUUAGGUAACUUCCAGUUUUGCUUUCCAGCUCUAAGCUCAAUUUUAAUGAUUUCUGUCUCUCCCUCUGCUUUUUUCAGAAGGAAAGUUUAGACCAGGGAAGUAAAAUUGAUUUAGCACUCAAUGGACAGCUUGGACUGGUCGAAUAGGAGACUGGUAUGAUUCUUGAGAUGUGCAUUGCUCUGUGGAUGGCAUCCUCUGAUUUCCUAGGAAUAAGUCUUUUAUUUGAUGCCAGUGCUGCUCUUCACCCAUUUCUCUCUUUCAGCUUAGAGAGGAUACUGCAUCUUUUUUUCCUGAGACCUGCCUGUAAAUGGCCAUUAGGGGGAGGGAGGGAAUGGGUAGCUUGGUUUUGUAAUUUUGGUACGAUAUAUCUUUAAAGUAAUUAAUCAAGAAGCAUGUACUUCCGUGCAAUGACAGUAAUCCAGGCAGAGUUAAUGUAUGUAACAGGGAAAAAAAACCCCAACAAAACCAACCAAACAACCCUCUGCAUCUAAUAAAUUUCUGAGAAAAUUGGACAGGUGGGCCAUUUACAGCAGAGCUCUGGGGGACCUGUGCUAAGAGUCAGGUUCAAUUCUAAAUGGACAUAGCUGUACCAUUGAAUAAAGUAGUUUAGUGCUUGGGAGAAUCAAUUGAAAAAUACCUCUGAAACUGGAAUGCAAAAUAGCACAGUAUGUAGGGGGAAGAAUCCCUGAUGCAAACAAAGCCAUAAGAUGAUUUAAUAAGAAAAUAGAACUUUAGUAGCAAUAACUGUUUUGCAUGUGAUAGUAAAUAACUUGCAUUAGCAAGACUGUACAGUAGAGUAAGUGGGUAAUAACCAAAUAAGUUUGUGGCGCUCUGUGCUGCAGGGAGUUGUGUGAAGAGUCUUCCUGAGAAGAAAGGUGAAUUCUUCUUAUGUUCCUCUCAUUGGAGGGAAUUUGGCACUUGAAUACUAAGUUAAUGAACUUGAUAUAUAUAUAUUAAAAAAAGAAAAGAAAAAUUAGCUUUGCCACAAGUCUGAAGCACUGUCAGUGAGUGCUGGGGGAAGGGCAGACAGUUCUCUUUGAAAGGAUAGCUGAAGUUUUUCUUUCUCUGUAGCCUAGUACUUGCUGUAUUUCUCUGAGAAACUAAACUUUUCCAAAUACUGUACUGUGAAGAGAACCUGAUUCUAAAGUGAGAAGUUUUUGUGGUGGGAAGUGAUUUUUGUUUUCUUUCUUUAUCAAGACCAAUCUGAGGUAGUCUUUAAAUAAAAAAAACCUCAAAACAUUAGAGAGCACUUGACCCUCAAAACAUUUGUGCAUGCCACGCACAACUGUAGAAGUCUAAAGAUGCUACAGCAGAAAAUAAUUUCAGCUUUGCUAAACACUGUUUCAGACCACAAUUGAUUUCAGUUGAUGCCUGAAGUUUUGCAGAGGAAAGUACUGUGAAGCCUCUGGUAACACAAAGGGUUAUUGAUCUUCACCUGUAGAUCUGCAUCCAAAAAAUUAUUUGCCAUCAAAGGGUUGCAUAAAAGAGCCACAGGAGUUCUAAACUGUUCCUAGUUGACACUUUUCAGUGUAGAUACCUCAUCAAUGGACACAGUGAGCCCCAACAUAUAGUAGUGUAUUCUGAACAGAAUCAGAUCAGUCUGGCUGCAUUUCUUCUGCAAAGCUGAAGUAAUUUAGUCUGUUAAGCUUUCAGCUUAAUGGAAGCUUCUUGUGUUUUUAAAGCAUGGGGGUGAAGCACUUUGGUUCUUCAUAAACGGACAGUGGAACUGUGAGGGCUGUGAGCAUUUUUGCAGUAUAAAGUAACAGGAUAAGCAUGAGACUGUCUAAAUUAAGUGUUGGCUAAUAUGUAAUAUGCUUAUGAAAACUAAUUGAUCUGAAAGAUUAUAAUCAGCUUAAAUUCCAACUGUUGAUUUUUUGAUAAAAUUGGAAGCUGGCCAUAGGGGACCUUCAUUUGAUUGCUCUCUGAUUGCAUUAGAUAAAUUAUGAAAUCUGUGAUCAGCAAGUACAUUUACAUAAUAAUGAAAUUAUAAUGAAAACAAAGUCAUAUUCAUGCUUCAGAAGUAUGAACUUUGUGGCUGAACAGAAUUCUUCAAGGGUAUAUCCACUCAGAACAGAGGGGAGGAAAUAAAGACUGAUGUAGCCAGGCAAGCUAUCUACAUAUAUUUCCCAGUUCAGGCUUUUAGUAAGGAUCUGAAUUCUGUGGGUUGCUGACUAGGAAUUACUAUUCACAGCAAGAAAAGAAAUCCCUUUGCCUUUCAGCUCUUGUACUAUGGCAUGACUUUUGCUUCAACCUCCUUGCUUUAACAGCUUCUAAACUGAAGUGGAAGUGUCAGGUGCUACCACUCUUGAGUGUGGUAUAUCAAAAGGUAUAAUGACCAGUAUGGACAUGCCUCCUUUAGCAGUACUAAACGCAGAUGAUACAAAUAUGUUCUGUUUGUAUAUCCAGUAGUGCUGCUGCAGAAGGUCUAGCCAGUACUUGUGUUGGGAAUUGUACCUUCUGAAACUGAGGGUAUUUGUCAAAUUUAUAGAAAAAAUAAAGUCUUGCAAAGACUUCUUGAUAGUAAGUCGGAAGAAAUUGUACUGAGCUUGAGGAUACUGACACUUCACAUGAGGAUUACAUUGUCAGGAACUGGCAGUCUGGCUUUUUGGGGGGCAGAAAAGGAAAAAAUAUUGAAGAUAGAACUAUUUUUGAUGUAUAACAAAUCUUAGAAAUUAGUGCUUCUUGCAUCCUUAGGAAACUGGCUGGUCUUCCUCCAAAACUAAUAUUCCUGCUUGCUGAUCAGGUACAGAGCUUCAAAAUGACAAUUCAAGUUAGAUUCCAUUGGAUUUCUUUCAUGGAACGAUCCAGCAUUUUGCCCCUGUAGCACUUUGACUGGCGCACAAAAGCCAACAGUUGAAUCAGGGUGUCUUGUUCAACAGUGCAGAGCACUAACCAUGGUUUCUGAUGUCUGUUCCCUUUCAAUCUCUACACUUCCUCCUGCAUUUUAGAGAAAGUGUCAGUGUUCAUGAUGUCAGCAGAGCAUAUUUCUGUCUCUGAGCCUAUGUACCGGGUUAUAAUACAGACAAACUUGCAAGACUUUUACCCCAUCUAAAGUUAAAGACAGAAGGUAACUUUCUGUUCAGUGUGUCCUAUGUAAAUCCUGUCUGCUUCUCUCCACUUCCCCUCCAAAUGAGUGUGUUUGCAGGUCAAAUAAAAGGCAGGUAGUUUGUAAUGCCUUAGGCAUGAAGAACUGCAUGGAGAAACUGAAGGAAAGCGGCACAGGCCCACAAACCAAAUCUUAGAGCUAGUAUUCUAAUUAUGCAUGAUUCAAAAUGUCUAGUGUAAUGUAGUUAUUACCAGUAAAUUGAGAUAUGCAUUUAUACAUAAUGAAGCAAUAGGAAUUAAUAUACCAAUAGCUUGAACUUCCUGCUUUGAUUUUGGGUUUUUUUAGAGAAUGUGCUGCCUCUGUAGAGAAGGGGGCAGAAUGUAUAGAUAGGGACAGAAGCAUGGCACCAAAACUGUAAAUCGGGAACCGGAAUCAGCAGAACUCGCCUUUAUAACCUCUAGUCUGGUUCAUAUCACUGUCCUGAGCAUGUAAACAGCAGGGCAUGAACUAAGCAUGUUUAGAGGCGAGAUGAGGUUUCUCACCUGCUGCAGCUGUAGCAAGGAAAAGGGUGCAGAGUUUCUUACAUGGUGCAGGGGAGCGACUGGUGGGAAGGAAAAAAAUCAAACCCACAAAAAAAUCACCCCAAAACCCAAGCUGACAAAUGAGUAACAGGAACCACAGACUCAAAUUGAGUGUAGUAUUUGCCAGACAGUAGGUAAUAAGCUUGAGUGUGGUGAGAGAAAUUAUUUGGAGAAUACUGAAAUUAAUAAGCACAGUACAUAUUUUUCAGGUGUUGAAUAGCUUUUUAAGAGACAGUAUUUUCAGGUAACUCUAGCCACAUAGGCAGCUGUACUGAAGCAUACUGGUACCAGCCAGCAAUAAUGGCAUCUGCAGGAAUGAACCUGAAAAUACUGGUAACCUUGUAUAUUUUUUAAGUUCUUUAAAGAGAUUUUUAAAAACAGAAAAUGAGAUUUGAUCACUGAAGGUCUUUAUCUUCUGCAACAGAGGUUGCAAUUGUCUUUUUUUCUUUAUUUCACUUACUAGAUAAAAGGGAAUUUGGGUGCCAUCUUUCUGUAAACUCUUAGUGUGUUCUCUGUAAUUCAAGUCUCUUAGUGGAUAAUACAGUCAAUUUCUGCUGGCAGUUUGAAAAUAAGAGAAUAUGUGGCAUAGCCUACAUCUCUAAUACUUUUCCAAGUUUAAACUUGUAAUUAAACAUAUAGAAUACUGGCUUGUAAUUGCAGAAUUCCAUACUUGUAGCUUAGCUUAAUUUUGUAAGUGGGCUUAACUUGUGCAGAACACUUCUCCAUGUACAGAGGCUCAGUCCUCUCUAAGUAGAAAGAAGUGUCUUGGAGGAAGAAAAGGUGUGUCAAGUUAACUCCUGUUCAUACUUCGUAGCCAACCAUUCAUAAAGCACUGUGUUUUGGGUUUAGAAUGGGAAGUGUGGUUUUACCUAUGAAUGCUCUUUUUAAAUAUGUAAGGAUUGCCAAAUGAAGAUAUGAAUAUUAGAAGAUAACUAUUCCAUGGUAUCAAAAGUUGGAUUGAAUGAAAGUCUUUGAGCCAACUUCUUCAAGAAACAAGAAAAUUUCUAAGGCAAAGUUAGCCCAGUGGUUAACCAUGGUAACUUUUAAUUCUUUAGAACACUAUGCAUGGUUUUAAAGUCUGUUAAGUAUUGUAAUGAGUAAGCCAUUGUAUUCUUUGUAUUUCCCUUCAGUAUAACUUGGGGAAAAGCUACUUCAGAAUAUCAGUGAAGUUAUUUUCCUUUUGAAAAAUAUAACAGCAAAGGAAAAAUAUUAGGUAUAAAUUCCUAAAAAUUACCUUAGUACUUAAUAGGCUAAAGAAUACUUAUACUGAACUUCUGAUAGCAUUCUUGCAUGGAUUAGUGGAGGAAAUUAUUGGUGUGACUACAGACUAUGUACUCCCAUUGCACACGUUUUACAUGGUAACAGUGAAAGAAUGUCUCCCUGCAAAUUCUGAUUUUCUCCAAAAGGCAGCUUGCUUUUAUAUCUAUGCAUCUUUGAGGAUUUCAAGAUAAGAUUUUAUUCUUUUGACACUGUAAAGAGGAACUGUUUAAAAAUGAACCUGGAAACUCUGCACCUGUAUACAAACUUUUUUAGCAAUAAAGCAGCACAGGCUGAGAAUGCA